AGGACGAACGCUGGCGGCGUGCCUAACACAUGCAAGUCGAACGCGCUCCAUUCGGUAGCAAUACUGAUGAAGAGCGAGUGGCGAACGGGUGAGUAACACAUGAGCAACCUGCCCCGAAGACCGGGACAACACCGGGAAACCGGUGCUAAUACCGGAUAUCCCUAUCGGACCGCAUGAUCUGAUAAGGAAAUGGAUUCCGCUUCGGGAGGGGCUCGUGGCCUAUCAGCUAGUUGGUGAGGUAACGGCUCACCAAGGCAUCGACGGGUAGCUGGUCUGAGAGGACGAUCAGCCACACUGGGACUGAGACACGGCCCAGACUCCUACGGGAGGCAGCAGUGGGGAAUCUUGCGCAAUGGGCGAAAGCCUGACGCAGCAACGCCGCGUGGAGGACGAAGGCUUUCUGAGUUGUAAACUCCUUUCAGCAGGGACGAUAGUGACGGUACCUGCAGAAGAAGCACCGGCAACUACGCGCCAGCAGCCGUA
This 483-nucleotide ribosomal RNA is filed under the name uncultured bacterium. Its description in RNAcentral is "SSU rRNA". It matches the Rfam family "Bacterial small subunit ribosomal RNA", at positions 26 to 519 of the family's 1533-position model. The record is from RNAcentral.